This is a long non-coding RNA of Trematomus bernacchii (emerald rockcod), 1130 nucleotides long. RefSeq lists it as uncharacterized. The record is from RefSeq and is a predicted model, not a curated record. The transcript has 4 exons. Lineage: Eukaryota; Metazoa; Chordata; Actinopteri; Perciformes; Nototheniidae.
UCUUCCUCCAACUCUCAGAAUCCCAGCAUCAAUGAUAGAGUCCAGCUUGUAUAGGGAGCUUCCUCUAUUGCACUGUUUGGCUUUUUCCAGCAAGGCAAAAUCCUCUUUGAAAUGCUGUCUCUGCUCGUGGCAAAUAAUGGCCUUUUCAGCAUUUUCCGUGUCCUCUACUGAAAGUCUUAGUGCAUUAGCUGUAGGCCUUUUGAGCAGAAGCAUCUGAUCCUUCAGUCGCUUUCCUUUAUCCUGCUUUACUCCAAGAUCAGUGGAGCAAUCUUUCCUCUUUUCUCUCCUCUGCAGGAGCUUUCGGUCAUCAGCUGACAUUUGUCUUUCCUCUUCAUACUCGUUUUCUGGAAAGUCAUUAAUAUAUUGUCUUUCAUUAAGCUUCUCAAGGUGAACAAUUGAGGUCCUGUUCACUACUGCCACAGGGGUUUCAUCAUCCGGAUCUGUGGAAGCAUUAGGUGGACCAUUAACGACCCAUCCUAACAGUGUUUUCACUGCAUAUGGGCCGUUUCCUUGGAUAAGGCCAUUUCUUGAGGUCCGCCUGGAAGGACUUCAGUUCUCCGUCCUCUAGCACCAAGCUGCCUCAUGAGCCCCUCUGUGCAAAAUGUGUCGGUACUACCAGGGUCCAGGAAUGCAUAGGUCAGUAUACUUUUAUUUCCAUGUCAGAGUUUCACCUUCACUGGCACUAUGGCAAGUAUGCUGUCUUUACCAGCCCCGAUUCCUUCACCUUCUCCUACUGAAACAAGAGCACUGCUGAUGGAUGUCUCUUCAGGCCUUGCUCCUCCACUCUUCUGCUCUGUCUUAUCAUGUUUAAAGUUCUCAGUUUCAGGCUUAGAAGAUCUUUUAAUGUGCAGAAUAGUUGGGUGUCUAGCAUGACAGAUUUGACAGGUCAUUCUCCUGUUACAGUUCCUGCUCAAGUGCCCCACCUUCAGGCAGCCAAAGCAUAGUCCUUUCUCUUUCAGAAACUCAAUUUUAGCUUCAUGAGAUAUUGAAUGUAUUGUAUGGCAUUCAGCUAAAGGAUGCAUGCUGGUACAAAAGGUACAUGAGGUGUCAUUGUUAGUGGAGGAAAUGUAGCUUUUAACAAGAUAAUUGUCUUCUUUGGGUUUCUCUGCAUGGCUGUCUGACACUAUAGC